AUGAACGCUAGCGGCAGGCCUAAUACAUGCAAGUUGAACGAUACCCCCGACCUUCGGUUUGGGGGGAAAGUGGCGCACGGGUGCGUAACGCGUAUGCAACCUACCUUAAUCAGGGGGAUAGCCUCUCGAAAGAGAGAUUAACACCGCAUAAAAUCACAACCUGGCAUCAGGGAAUGAUCAAAUAUUUAUAGGAUUAAGAUGGGCAUGCGUGACAUUAGUUAGUUGGUGAGGUAACGGCUCACCAAGACUACGAUGUCUAGGGGAUCUGAGAGGAUGACCCCCCACACUGGUACUGAGACACGGACCAGACUCCUACGGGAGGCAGCAGUAAGGAAUAUUGGUCAAUGGGGGCAACCCUGAACCAGCCAUGCCGCGUGCAGGAAGACGGCCCUACGGGUUGUAAACUGCUUUUAUACCGGAAUAAACCCCCGAUCGUGAUCGGGGUUGAAUGUACGGUAAGAAUAAGGAUCGGCUAACUCCGU
Molecule: ribosomal RNA, 482 nt
Filed under: uncultured bacterium
Lineage: Bacteria
Description: bacterial SSU rRNA
Rfam family: Bacterial small subunit ribosomal RNA
Source: RNAcentral